Molecule: ribosomal RNA, 962 nt
Filed under: uncultured Syndiniales
Lineage: Eukaryota; Dinophyceae; Syndiniales
Description: SSU rRNA
Rfam family: Eukaryotic small subunit ribosomal RNA
Source: RNAcentral
UGUUGCGGUAAAAAGCUCGUAGUUAGAUUUCUGUUGAGGACGACCGGUCCGUACCACGUACGCCCAUCUGGUUCGGCCUCGGCAUCCUCUCGAUAGACGUUUCUGCGCUUGAUUGCGUGGAGCGGAUUUCGGGACUUUUACUUUGAGGAAAUUAGAGUGUUCACGGCAGGCUAUCGCCAGAAUACAUUAGCAUGGAAUAAUACUAUAGGAUCUCGGUUCUAUUUUGUUGGUUUCUAGACCCGGGGUAAUGAUUAAUAGGGACAAUUGGGGGCAUUUGUAUCAACACGUCAGAGGUGGAAUUCUUGGAUUGUGUUGCGACAAACUACUGCGAAAGCAUUUGCCAAGGAUGUUUUCAUUGAUCAAGAACGAAAGUAAGGGGAUCGAAGACGAUUAGAUACCGUCGUAUUUUUUACCAUAAACUAUGCCGACUAGAAAUGGGGCAUCGUUCACUUACGACUUGCUCCGCGUCUUAUGAGAUAUCAAAGUCUUUGGGUUCCGGGGGGAGUAUGGUCGCAAGUCUGAAACUUAAAGGAAUUGACGGAAGGGCACCACCAGGAGUGGAGCCUGCGGCUUAAUUUGACUCAACACGGGGAAACUCACCAGGUCCAGACAUAAUAAGGAUUGACAGAUUGAUAGCUCUUUCUUGAUUUUAUGGGUGGUGGUGCAUGGCCGUUCUUAGUUCGUGGAGUGAUUUGUCUGCUUAAUUGCGUUAACGAACGAGACCUUAACCUGCUAAAUAGGAGCGCCUAUCUCCGGAUAAGCGCCUUUCUUCUUAGAGGGACUGCAUGCGUUUCAGUAUGCGGAAGUUUGAGGCUAAAACAGGUCUGUGAUGCCCUUAGAUGUUCUGGGCUGCACGCGCGCUACACUGAUGCGUUCAACGAGUGUACAACCUUGCCCGAUAGGGUUGGAUAACCUUUUGAACACGCAUCGUGAUGGGGAUUGAGUAUUGCAAUUAUUACUCA